CCGAAGUGGUGGAACUGGUAGACGCGCUGGCUUCAGGAGCCAGUGGGCGCAAGCCCGUGGGGGUUCGAGUCCCCCCUUCGGCA
RNAcentral lists this transfer RNA (83 nucleotides) under Gemmatimonadota bacterium. Its description in RNAcentral is "Gemmatimonadetes bacterium tRNA-Leu". It matches the Rfam family "tRNA". From Rfam's summary of the family: Transfer RNA (tRNA) molecules are approximately 80 nucleotides in length. Their secondary structure includes four short double-helical elements and three loops (D, anti-codon, and T loops). Lineage: Bacteria; Pseudomonadati; Gemmatimonadota. The record is from RNAcentral. RNAcentral also lists the same sequence under 1 other name.